UUUAUUCAACAUUUGUCUUAUGCUUAUACGUGGUAGAGAAUAUAAAAAAUAGUCCCUGGUUUUAAGGGAUGUAUUGUUUUCAGGAAGCGGCAACAGUGAACUAGAAGACAAUGUGAGAUACUUUUAGGUAUGACUAUCAUGUGAAGAUUUCUCUUAUGAAAGGAUACCAAAUGUUCAAUAUUAAACAAGAUGUAGAUGUCAGGAAGUAUUACUCUGAUGGAACUAGAGAAGGCUUCAGAUAUUAGAUGGGCAAUGAAUGAAAGACAGGAUAUUUUCAGAUACAAAGGGAAGAGAAGAUAUUUCAAGCAAAGGCAAAGGCAUGAGUCAGGAUAUAAAAAGUACUUGGUAUGUUAGAAUCAUAAUUGAAUCAAUUGAAGUAUUUGGUAUCACAAAGGGAAAAGGGAGGAAAUCAGGUAUUGAAAAGUGGUUAAAUACACAUUAGACAAGAUCCUGAGUGCUGCAGAGAGAAACAUAGAAUGAGGAAGUGAUAGAGAAGCUUAUAAUCGAGGGUUUUUUCUCUUCAGGAAGACUGCAUUUUACCAAGAAUGCAGAUAGAAUUACAGUCUGAAAGAUUGGGGAAGGAAAUGAUUGGGAGACUAUUUCAAUAGUCUGGUAGAGCAGUGGUAAGAAAAGUUUACCCAAGACACUGCUAUUACAAAGUGUGACUUAAGGAGAAGAAAGUGCCAGUUUUGCUGAUUUAUUCAGCACAUAUAUAAUUGCUCGCCCACUGCACAGAAAGCGCUCUAACAGGUACUGGAGACAGACAAACAAGAAAGGUGAAACUCAACCUCAUGAAACUCAUGAGCUAUCAGAGAAGAUGUAUCCUAAACAAAUAAGCAAAUGCACAGAUGAAACAAUUUCACGCAGUGCUUUUCUAAUGUAAUAAUUAAAGAAUGGAAGCAACGUGUUCUAUAUAAGUCAGCUACGAAGCACAAUAAUAAAGAGAACACUCCUGCAACGUCACAAAUCAAGAAACAGUGUUUGAAUACUGAGCUGCAAAUCAAGCAAUGUGAUAUUCAGACUGAUUAAUGACUUGGAGAUUUCAUCUAUUGCGUUUCCAUGUCCCUGAACUGAGGAAACCAAGGUGCUCAGCUGGAGAAGAACAUCAUUGAAUCUUUGAUCAGUCACCAGACUAAAAUUUUGAAAAUGCUCUGAACCUAUGAGAUUGGCUUCUGUAUCUGAAAUAAAUUGGAUUCUCUUC
Long non-coding RNA from Leopardus geoffroyi (Geoffroy's cat), 1201 nucleotides. RefSeq lists it as uncharacterized. The transcript has 3 exons. The record is from RefSeq and is a predicted model, not a curated record. NCBI's taxonomy places the organism in Eukaryota, Metazoa, Chordata, Mammalia, Carnivora, Felidae.